Molecule: unclassified non-coding RNA, 148 nt
Filed under: Gigaspora sp.
Lineage: Eukaryota; Fungi; Glomeromycota; Glomeromycetes; Diversisporales; Gigasporaceae
Description: partial internal transcribed spacer region
Rfam family: Eukaryotic small subunit ribosomal RNA (bases 1-46)
Source: RNAcentral
AAGUCGUAACAAGGUUUCCGUAGGUGAACCUGCGGAAGGAUCAUUAAAAAAUGAGGUAUUUUAUACCUCUUGUAUUUAAAACCCAACUCUAAAAUAUAAAUUUUUAAUAAAAAAAAAAAAACUUUCAACAAUGGAUCUCUUGGCUCUC